UACGUAGGGUCCGAGCGUUGUCCGGAAUUACUGGGCGUAAAGAGCUCGUAGGUGGUUUGUCGCGUUGUUCGUGAAAACUCACAGCUCAACUGUGGGCGUGCGGGCGAUACGGGCAGACUUGAGUACUGCAGGGGAGACUGGAAUUCCUGGUGUAGCGGUGGAAUGCGCAGAUAUCAGGAGGAACACCGGUGGCGAAGGCGGGUCUCUAGGCAGUAACUGACGCUGAGGAGCGAAAGCGUGGGGAGCGAACAGG
RNAcentral lists this ribosomal RNA (253 nucleotides) under uncultured bacterium. RNAcentral's name for it is "partial 16S ribosomal RNA". It matches the Rfam family "Bacterial small subunit ribosomal RNA", at positions 524 to 776 of the family's 1533-position model. The record is from RNAcentral.